ACGGCUCAGUAAUACGUAGUCAACCUGCCUUGGAGACAAGGACAACCCCGGGAAACUGGGAUUAAUCCUCGAUAGGUCAUCUCAUCUGGAAGGAGAGAUGGCUUAAAGGGGUACGAGGGCUUCUUCCACGUAUUCGCUCCAGGAUGGGACUGCGACCGAUCAGGCUGUUGGCGGGGUAAUGGCCCACCAAACCUGUAACCGGUACGGGCCUUGAGAGAGGUGGCCCGGAGAUGGACACUGAGAGAAGGGUCCAGGUCCUACGGGGCGCAGCAGGCGCGAAACCUUCGCAAUGCGCGAAAGCGUGACGAGGUUAAUCCGAGUGGUUCCCGCUGAGGGAAUCUUUUGUUGGCUCUAAAAUGGCCAGUGAAUAAGGGGAGGGCAAGUCUGGUGUCAGCCGCCGCGGUAAUACCAGCUCCUCGAGUGGUCGGGGCGAUUAUUGGGCCUAAAGCAUCCGUAGCCUGUUCUGUAGGUCUUCUGCUAAAUCCAACGGCUUAACCGUUGGCCUGCAGAAGAUACCGCAGGACUAGGAGGCGGGAGAGGUGGACGGUACUCCACGUGUAGGGGUAAAAUCCUUUGAUCCGUGGAAGACCACCAGUGGCGAAGGCGGUCCACCAGAACGCGCUCGACGGUGAGGGAUGAAAGCUGGGGGAGCGAACCGGAUUAGAUACCCGGGUAGUCCCAGCCGUAAACGAUGCGAGCUAGAUGAUCCAAUCGCAAAUCGCGAUUGGAGUGUCGCAGGGAAGCCGUUAAGCUCGCCGCCUGGGGAGUACGGUCGCAAGACUGAAACUUAAAGGAAUUGGCGGGGGAGCAC
Molecule: ribosomal RNA, 811 nt
Filed under: uncultured crenarchaeote
Lineage: Archaea; Thermoproteati; Thermoproteota
Description: bacterial SSU rRNA
Rfam family: Archaeal small subunit ribosomal RNA
Source: RNAcentral